Molecule: ribosomal RNA, 251 nt
Filed under: uncultured prokaryote
Description: partial 16S rRNA
Rfam family: Bacterial small subunit ribosomal RNA
Source: RNAcentral
ACAGAGGGUGCAAGCGUUAAUCGGAAUUACUGGGCGUAAAGCGCGCGUAGGUGGUUUGUUAAGUUGGAUGUGAAAGCCCCGGGCUCAACCUGGGAACUGCAUCCAAAACUGGCAAGCUGGAGUACGGUAGAGGGUGGUGGAAUUUCCUGUGUAGGAGGGAAAGGAGUAGAUAUAGGAAGGAGCAGCAGUGGCGAAGGCGGACACCUGGACUGGUAUUGCCAGGGGGGUGCGUAAGUGUGGGGUUUAAAAUG